Molecule: long non-coding RNA, 600 nt
Organism: Macrobrachium nipponense
Lineage: Eukaryota; Metazoa; Arthropoda; Malacostraca; Decapoda; Palaemonidae
Exons: 3
Source: RefSeq, a predicted model, not a curated record
UAUUUCAGCUGGUGGAGAUCUGCUAGUUUCUUCAACAUCGUCAUCAAGAUGUAAGCUUCAUAUUCUCAAAUGGUCUAAUAUUAAAGAGAUGAACCCCAUUCAUAUGGAACAAGCCCACAAGAGCAAUUGACUUGAAAUUCAAGCUUCAAAAGAAUAUGGAGUUAAUGAAGAAAUAAGAGAAGUAAUCAAAGGACAGACCGUCUCACAAUACACACGGGAAAACAGUUCUUCCAAGGAGGUGCUGAACACUUGAAUUAAGGUAUUUACUAUAUUCCCAACUAUUUACAAAUAAUGUAUUUCAAGCUUUGAUCUAAAACUGACCAAUUUAUUUUUUUAAUUUUAAAAGUUGUUUGGAAUGCAAACCAUUGCCUCUAUGCAACCAAAUAUCUACUUAGGAGGGAAAAUGACCUCUCUAACAGGCAGGACUCCUAUGGUUAAAAUAGUAUUCUACCUUGUCAGCCUUCAACAAUCCACUUAAAGAUAAAGGGUCAGUAGAGUUAGGCAGCAAGAUAAUUACUGCUUGCCUUGGUAUGAUAUGUGAAGUAUAUUCUAGCUAACUUGGACUACUUAUGGGGGACGCCAGCUUGAAUUGUGGAAAGU